CUUCGAGCCAUCCCAGACUUUAAACAAGCGACACAUUCAGACAGGACAAUUCUCUGGUUACUGUUACUUGCUGAACCAUGCUGCAUAAAAGUGCACCGCAGAGCUUCAGACAAGAGAAACUUCUGUUUUCAGAUUUCAACUGGCCAGGCGAUCAGAACCGACUAAGGUCUUCAUCUAAACAGUGUUGGCCACCUGCUGUCCCGGAGCCCCAGCUUCUUCGGUUUACCGUGGGACACAUAACCAGCUGUGGCUUGUGAGAGUAUGAAGCAGCCUUACGACUUCAGAGCCAGCACGCAGCUGGCCACCCUGUUUCCGCUGCUCCGGCAGGUGGAAGCGCAGCCGAGCUGGCCCUCUCUGCUCACGGUCGUCCAGGCUGACGUCACCACAGUCUUGAUGAAUCCCUGAGUCUAGUCCAGCAGUGCUAUAUCUUCAGGCUGUACUAUGAAAGUGAGAAUGAUCUUUUUACACCUAUAGCUGACUAUAACACCUGUAACAGCCC
This is a long non-coding RNA of Meriones unguiculatus (Mongolian gerbil), 499 nucleotides long. RefSeq lists it as uncharacterized. Lineage: Eukaryota; Metazoa; Chordata; Mammalia; Rodentia; Muridae. The record is from RefSeq and is a predicted model, not a curated record. The transcript has 3 exons.